GGCACACACAGGACUCAGUGAAACAAUUGUGUUUUUGGGUAGCAGAGUGGUGUAACUAGUUCUGGCAGCAUUGAGAACUCUCCUUUGUGGCUCAUGGCAUCUAGUUUCAUCCUUCUCUCAGGUGCACGCAGAGCUAUUUUGCUAAUUUUAUGUUUACAAGCUGCUGUAAAGUAUUUUAAUAGAAAAAUGGAUCCUCCUCUUUUCUUAAUACUCCCCAACUACUUUGAAAGCCUGUAAAGAGCACACCCUCAGAUGGACCCCACUCCCUAUAAACACCUUCAGAGGCUCCUGACCUGCAUGACUCCUGGGAAGGAGGUCCAGCUUCAUAGUAGCCAGCUGGAUCUCUUAUGACAACAUUCUGUACCUGUAUCAGAUGUAAAUAUUUUCUUUCUCGAAAUUACACCAUUUAAGGACACCUUUUAAUACUGUGAGGAAUUUUGCAUUUACGUAAUACUAUGUUAGUUGUAUUUCAAGACAUUCAGUAAGAAUUUGGCCCCAGUCCUGCAGUUAAUAAAAGGAAGGUGUGGGAGUCUCUCUGUGUAGAGCCACUACAAGCUUCCGUGGGUAAACAAAAUAGUUUAUUACUGAGUACUUUUUUGGUUUUACUUUUUUGUAUUACUAUUUUUUGGUAUUACUUUUUUGGUUAAAUUUUAGCUUUAGUCUGAAGUUUUAGUUGCUUAUAAAUCACGAGGAAGACAGUAUUAGACUAUGAUUAUCUGUGUUUGAACACAUAGCUUGGUUAAUCUCUGGGUGAGCAUCUAAACCCCGUAUUCAGGGAGCAUCCCUUUUAUUUUAAAAUACAUCAGAACUUUCCUAACCAGUAUAACUCCAAAAUCUAAAUGUGUGGAACAACAGGAACAAGGGCAAGGUUGUACAUUAGUUACAGAGUAUAAAACAUACCAGUGUAUUUAUUAAACAUCUUCUCUCAAGGUUUUAUAUUCCUUAUUAUCAAAUCAUUUAAAAAGCAGCAUGCUACCUCUAUUAGCAUGCUACCUAAGUUAAAAGGAGGACCAUACACAUGCAAGUAUUUUGCAAAGCGUGUAAGAUUGUAGUGCUCUAUAGUACUGCUUUAUCUGGUUUCAUGCUUUUGUACGCACAUAUACAGUCAUACAAGCUGCCAUGUGUAGAUAAUAACCCCCAUACAAAACCACAUGAUUAUUAAAAAAAAAAUACAUUCCAGCAGUAGAAAUUACAAAUUUUCUUGUUAUUUUGUGCCCACACAAUGUAUGAAGUUGAUGUAAUCAAAAGUUGUGAGUCUUUAUCAGAACUUAUAUGACUAAUUCAGCCUUUUAUCUAUCCUUGGCUAAUCAUGCAAAAGCCAGGAAUGAAGGAAUGCUGAACUGGUAAUAUAAUUGGUUGUAUAAAUCUGAGUGGGUAGGCAGCUGGAUUUUCUUCAGUCAGUUCUUCCUAGCCACUGACUUUGAUGCUGUAAUCCUUUUGAGCCAAACAUGGACUCAGGUUCCAAACACACAUUAAUGCCAUGAUAAGAAACUUGUUGCAGAAAGGUUGUGCUACCUUGAGGUGUUACUGCUCCCUCAGCCAAACUGGCAGAACUGAUCAUGUGAAGUUUCCUUGUUGGUUUCAGCACAAAGUGAGUAGCUCUCUAAGUUAUUUUUAAACAACCCAAGCUAUUUGACAUGAAAUGCAUAAAGCAUGCUCACGUGUCUUUCAUCAGCUCAGCUCUGGAUGCUAAAUUUGUGAUCACAAACAUCUGGCGCUUGACCUGUUCUUGCAGCUGGACUGAGUGCAGGUACAUAGUGUGCUCUGCACUGCAAAGGAGAGGAAGAGGAGAAGGAACACAGGAUGAUGUGAUCACCACCACUUUUUUUUAGCUUCAUUCAGUGGGAUAUCAGCAAGGGCAGCGGUUCCUUCACAAACACGUGGGCCUGAGUUCCGGAGCCCUAGAUCAUGUGCAGAACAUUCUAAACUUCUCUUUCUGUUGAAAUAAUAAAAAAUGUUGUCUUCUUUAAAACCAGUGAAGCUGCAAUAGAGUGAAGGGUAAUAUAAUUCCUAUUUUUCUUCUAGCUUAUGUUAGAGAAAUUAGAGAGACGUAGGAAAAGACCAUCAAAAAUUGUUGUUCCUAUUUCUCACUUUCAUUUGUUGCUUCAACCCGAUAUCUUUAAUGCUCUGCCAUAUAGGCAAAAUAGUUUCAAAAGUGUCCUGACAAGCUGACAUAGGGUUUCCUAAUGAUAUAUGUAAGUAUAGUAUUUCACCAUUUUCCAGGUCUUUAAAUAAAAAAAUUAUGUGAGUGGUAAGUGAUACUCCUGGCUUUCUAUUUUAAUAAAUCUCCAGUUUCCAAUGGAAUUGAAACACGAAGUAACUAAGCUUUGAUGUUUCUGUGUUCUAGAAGUGAUUAUGUCUUCUUCUGGCCCAUUCUGGUAUAUUACUGAGGAAGAUAUUUCACAUUUCAGAUGGCAUAAAUACUGACUGUGAGAUUUCAAGUUUAUUUACACGUGUAAUGUUGUACAGAGACUUGUUCAGCCAAUUACUUGUAUAUUUUGGAUACUAUACAGACAAAAUCAGAAAUUCUACCUUGGGUAACUCUGGUUUGGUUGCUCUUUCUGUCUCCCUGUCCUUUAAAUUUAAUAUUCUCCAUUGUUUGACAUCUUGCAUGCCUUUGUUUUAAUGCCCAGCUCUCCUCCUUUGGUGCAAAGACAGCUACGCUUUUUUGUUGUUUAGUAAAAUGAUUUUGUAUAUUAUAUUCUCUUACAGUUGUAACACAUGAAAUCACUCUGAUUGCAUGGUACUCUGUAGGUGUAAGAUAACAAUCAUAUUAAUUAGAUGCAGGUGUUGACUAAUGUCAAUGGCUACCAUAUGAUACAAGCUGUGCAAGGCAGAGUAAGACGCUGAGGCAGAUUCCCUGUUACUAUAAUAUUACUGCCUGCAUGUUAUGAAAGAAUUUAGUCCAAACUCCCUGUAGAAUCCUUCCCCUAAGUUUAAAACACAGAUUAUGCCUUAAAUAUUUGACACAAAACAUUAUUUCUUUUCUCCUGCCAACUUAGGCAAUGCCAGAAAAAAUAGGAUCAGUGUUCUCAAGCAAAGGGAUAAUUUAAUUCAAGCCACAGUUAGAAUAUAUCUAGAUUAAAAAAAAAAAAAUAAACAAAAAAGGAGAGAACACUGAACCCACCUUGGAGUCCAGAGAGAUUCCAGAGAGCAGACUCUGGUUGACUGGAAGCCUAAAGACUCCUUCCUGUUGCUGUUGGGUUUAAAAUAGUUAAAAUCUGUUCCAUCUCAGUAGCUACAAUUAUUGUAUCGGGGAAAAAAUUAACAUUAAAAAAAAAUUGACUUAGAAGAAUGAAUUAAAUAUUUUUAUUCUAAAAUGUUGUAUCUACAGAAAAGAAACCAGUGCAUUUUGCUAAAGCCUGAUGAUCUGCUUUGUCAUGAAGCAAGUCUUUAUAAAUAAAGUCUUUAGCAUUCAUUUCCUGUUGUCUGGCAGUAACUCAUUCAUGAAGGUUCUGAAUAUUCAUCUUGUUACUGUUUUUCUUCUAUUUUAGAAAAUGCUUCCACUGAUUCCCCAAAAGCUAUUUUUCUGCUUUGUAUCUUUUCUCUCGGUUGAUGUGGAGAUGGUUGUUUUGGACUUUUAUUUUUAACUUCAGAGGCAGUCAUUUUUAAUUGGAGGGCAGUAGAUAAGCUGAAAAAAAAAACAACCCUCAAAAGAUACAGACAUGUUUGUAUUUUGCUUCUGGAGAAAUUCAAAGGUUUUUUUGAAUGCUGCAUUAAAGAAGUCAUGGUGAACAGACAGGGAAAACAGCCCUUGAAAAGUCAGCUCGUCUGUCUUCUGCUCUGAAGGUUUACCCAGGGAGGCCUGAUCCCUUCUUGGCAGAGAUGUGGCCACCAUGUUCUCAGAAACCUCUUUCCAGCCUCUCCAAGGAAUCAAGUCCAUUAAUUGCCCUCCUGAUAGUAAGCUCUUCCUAAUGUCUAACCUGAUUCUCUCUUGUAGCAAUUUUAGUCCACUUCAGUCUGUUCUCUCUGCAGUAGCCUUUACGCAUCUGAAGAUCAUUACCAUGUUUCCCCACAGUGGUUUCACCUGUAGAUGAAGGACUGGGUUGUUCCAAUGUUUCUCAGGCUCAGAGAGCUCUCCCGGCUUUCCUCUGUGCUCUAUCCACUUGGUUCCUGGUGUUGCUGGAAUUGAUGCUUUAGACUGGACAUGGUUCUCCAUCUGAACAAAGCCUUCCUAUUGACACUUUUCCAGGAUGGUAUUUGCUUUUCUUGCAACCUGGCGGCGUUGCUGACGCAUGUCCAGUGUCUGACCUCUGAUCCCUUGUAUGGCACUGCUGCCCAGUCAGUCCUUCCCCGUCUUGUAUUUUGCUCAAUCAGUUACUCCCAAGUGCUGUACUUUGUGUUUCUCCUUAGUGAAAUGUGUUCCUUUUUUUUUAAUGCCCACAUGCACACCCACAUGCAUUUCUGUCAAGUGUUCUCUGUUUCUUCAGCUCAUCCUUCUGAACUCAAACCCUGUUGUCUUUGUAGUGCAGGUCUUGCAGCUUUUCCGAGCACUGCAUCCUUUGCAGAGCUAAUAGGAGCUCUAUUGAUUCUGUUAUGCAAAUCAUUAACAAAAAAUACUGACAAAUGCUAAAUCUGGUAAGUAUUGUAGAAUGUAGGGGGCAUGGAAUGUUCCGAUCUAUGACUCCUCAUUACUGCGGCUUAUAGGACAGCCUUGGUGGGGACAGAGCUAUUCCACUGAGAUGCCAAGAUUUGGCAGAGGUGGGAUGGGGUUGUGUCAAAUCCCAGGUUUGGGAGCACUGUGCAUCUUCCACAGCGCUGCUGAGGGAAGUCCUUUUGAAGCCUAAAGCAGAAAAGCAAUAACCUGGAAUAUCUGUGCUGUCCACACAACCAGGGGAUUUGCAUUUGUUGUGGUCUUUUCCUCUUUGUGCUUGAACUAGAAGGGAACAAACGUUCAGGAACAGAGCUGUAGUAGUGGUCUGAGUGUAUGGGGUGUAGAUCCAUAGAUAGCCACAGAGCAUAUAUUCUUCUGUUUGUGGAAAAGUUGUUAAUAACUUUUGAAAGAAUGAAACCUUUUUUGCCCCUAACUUAAAUGCUGUCUAUUUUACAUUAAAACACUACAUUUUUUUUCCCCACAAAAGAUUAUGACAAGGAUUUUUUUCAUUUCUGUGAGGACUCUUCCAUGAAGAUGACUCAAUAUUUGGGUUUCACACAAGUUUUUCAAAAUCUCAUGUGUUUUAAACUAAUGUUUCUAUUAUAGUUAUUUUUUCAGUAGCUUCCAAUAAACAGAUACUUUAUAAGAGUGGUCUUUUGAUAGCAUGAAAAGUGCUUUUCUUCCCUACAACUUCCUGUAAAAUCUUUCCUUAUCCAAACAUGUAAUGAUGAUGAAUUUGCUGUUCUUGAUAACAAUGAUUGCACUCUUCUCCAAGGCCAGAUACAAAAAACACAGUUUGAGCUGUGCUGACAUUAUACUUUCUGUUAUUUAGCUCAGCAGAUGAAAACGUAAAGAUCCACCAACAAACAUUUUAGAACUUUGUGCCUGUGAACCCUUGAAAUUAACUGCAAAAAUAGUUGAGAUUUACUCUGUCUCAAGUAUGGUAAAGCACAAUUUCUGAGGCCAAACUUACUCUUCUGUAAGGACUUGUAGAAGUAUUUGCUUAUUUAAUGCAAAGAAAGUUACCAAAUAUUACACCUGAUACAUAUUACAUGGAUUCUAAAUUAUAGCCCUGCACUUGAUGUGAAAGGAGUAAAACAAGGAAAAAUAGCAUUAAAGAAUGAUGUGCCAGCCAGGUAACUUUCCCUUAAGAUAUAAAUGAUUCAGAGAGGCUGAUUCUUGAUACUGUGUUACUAAGUCAUCAGCAGCGCAGCCUGGAAUAAAGAAAUGUUUUGUUUUCUAUUGCUUUAUGUAGCUGUUGACUGAAUGACACUGCAUUAUAUCAGCAAAAUAUAAACAGAAUCACGUCCAUAGUAACUCAUACAUUGGAAUAAUUGAUAGGUGAUUUUUGCCACUGAAGAGGUCCAGCUCUGGUGCAGCCACGUUUUGAGGAAAUGGGUCAGGAUUUUGCUCAAUACAAGACCAGCUCAAAAGAGAGCCUGAAGUUACCUAAUCAGUAACACAUGGCCGGAACUGAAACAUAUUUAUUGAAAAAAGAGCUGAAGAAAUGCAAGAUGAAAAGAUAAGGCAGUGGUCUCCAUGGUUUAUUAAAGUUUGGAAAUGUGCAUCCUAAGAGACUAACUUGCCCCAUAAUUGUGCAACUCUCAUUCAAAGUUGGUAUUUUUAAUUUCAAGGAGUAUUGUCAUUUGAAAUGAGAAGUUGAAACAUGAAUAGAUAUUUUUAAUUGUAGUGCUUUACAAUGCAUAAACAACAGUUCAAAAUUUACUUAAAAAAAAAAAAAAAGAUGAUUUCUUUUUGUUCUUUUACCCCCAAAAGGAGGUAAAAAGCCAAAGGGCUAGGACACUCUUGAAUUGUUUCAUCUGGCUUGCUCUUGAGUAACAGAUGCUGUUGACUGACUGAAAAUAAUCAGUCAGGAUUGACUGAAGGUUUAGGUGUGAGUGUGACAGCCAAUAUGAGACAAGCCUAUGUAUGGCAGCUGCCAUUGCACUGAAGGGACAGACUUUCUCGGCCACUGUCACUUGCCUGCUUUCUCCUAACCAGAAAAUUUUGCCCCUUUCCCUACCCCAGCCUCCAUCAGAAUUGGAUGUCUUGUUACUCGUUAACAAUGUUCUGUCAAAAUGAUUUGAGUGAGUUUAAAUACUUCAUAGUGAGGGAUUAAGAAAAAAAAAGGUGUCUGGAUCAAUUUUGACAGAACUGGGUUAGAGGAGACGAAGUCUGCAAUGAUGCCAGCAGAUGGGAAGGUGCAGCCAUCUCCCUUGGGAUGGGUGGUGAGGCCCGAACGAGCAGCCUGGGGAUGUCUGUGUGGGUAACUACUGACACUGGAUCUGCCAUAGCCAGAGGAAUCUGCCUGACUGGGCCUCUCUUUAAUCCUACACUGACCUUCAGUGCAUUUGUGAGUUAACAAAGAUGUAUAAGGUGAUUACAGCAUCGGUGAAACAACAUCACAACAUCUGAAGAGAUAAGCAAUCACAAAAAAACAUAGGAAUUACUAGCUGUACUUUGUAGUCUUUGGGGGUGAGGAGGAACAGCUUUGUAACCUGUUUAAUGCUGUGAUUAAUUUGACUUUGGAAGUCACAGUUGCUGUUAAAUUCCUUUUCUUCUCGCCUUCACUGAAGGCAUCAGGAACUCUUCACACCUCUCCAUUGCUGUUUCUGAGCCACAGGAGGAUACUUUUCAGGAUAUCAGUCUGUGUUACAAAGAUAAUGUCAACUGAGGGAGUCCUCCCUCCUCCCAUGUUCCUCCUCUUCUGUUAGACUCCCAUUGCCAGCCCUACACCACUGUACUUCAGCCCGUCCAGGAUCACCUGAGCCUUCCUGUGGUCCACCUUCUUGUGGAGCCCACAGACAGACCCAUGGGUAUUGCUGGGGAGGAAACAAACUGGUGUGGUGCAAGAGGAGAAGCUCAGGCUUCUGUAACUGGUUUUGCUGCUGAAGCCAGUGGGAAGUGAAGCAACCACUGAGACAAUCAUUUCUCAUAUUAUUCAGAUGUAAAUACAUAAGAUGUUCCAGAAGUAGUUUGGAAGAGCGUACAGAUGACUGGGCACAAGUAUGACAAGUUCAACUUUUUUUAGGAUGAAUAGUCUGAGAAUAUUCACGUUUUGUGCUUUUCACCAUGACAAAACAAGAGCAACCGAGUUUUGCCUUUGGCUUUAAGAUUCGUAGUACAUUGCAGUGCGAUAUAUUUAGUCUAAUUACUGAAGCCAUUUACAUUUGAAAAUUUCUAUUUACAUGCAUAAGAAAUAAAGUGUUUACUUAACAUUUUAGAUCCUGUAGAAAAAUUGCUCCUUUUAAAAACCAGCUAUUUUGUCAUUGGCCAAAAGCGCCAGAACCAUUAUAACAUUGUUCUUUAGUGAAAGUCUUGUGUCGUUUUGGUUUGAGUUUUAAAACCUGUAUCAUUCGAGCAGCAGCAAGUCCUGUUGUACUGUAUCCUCCUGUGCUUGUGAACAGAAUCCCAGGCAUUUGAGAACAGUGACAAUAUGAGCAACGAACAGUUCUUCUGGCUAAGCACUGAUUUAUAGAAUUCCUUGUAGGCAGAUUACAAGCAGUCAACAAUUCAAAAGACUUCAGUGACCCUAGAAAUAUUUCCAAGAAAAUGUUACUGCUUUUAAUAAUGACUGUGCAAUACACAGUAAGUAUAAAUGCAAGAGGUGAAGGGAUCAACAAGAGUUCUCAGCCACACUAAUUUAACACAGGAAGCAAUGGUGAAAGUCUAAGGUUAAGCUGUACAGUUAAAGCCAGAACGGAAACUGGGGCAAGAAAAAGAAAACAUGGUGUCGUAAAAAUGAUGACAUCUCUAUUUACACUAGGAAGAUGACUCACAGUGCAGUUGUAAAACCUGGGUACAAAAAGUUCUAAGGAAUUCUAGAAAGUAAGGCAGAUUUGGUCAUUGUGUCAAAUAUAUCAAUUUCUCCUUUUGUUUAAAUGAUCAGGCAUUCAGAUAAAGCAUAUGGCAAAUCACAUGCUUAGGAUACUCAGCGUAGUUAUGAAACACAGUAAUGUGUCAAUGAGUUCUCUUCAGGGUAGGUAGAGGAGGGCUUUACUUUAAUGAAGGUGUUUAAUAACAGUAAAAAUUGCGUAGUUUUGAGAGAAAAGGAAAGCAAGUUCUAACUUGCUUUAAUCUAGAAUGCAUCAACUGGUUAAAACAGCUGAGGGAGGUGUCAGGAGUAUAUAGUUUCAAGUGAGCCGAAAUACAAAUGCUGCAAGGAGUUACUUUCUCUGGCUUUGGAUCAUUAAAGCUCUUAAGCGCAUUCUUAACUUUAAGUGCAAACAUUCCCAUGGCAGUGAUUGGGUGGUGACUGGACAGCUUGCAAGAUCAGUUCUUAAAAUGUUUAUUUUCUUUCAUUAUUUUGCAUAUGUUUGGCAGGUUCUCCUACGGCAAAGCAGCAGCAAGCUGCUACAUGUCCCUUUUAACUGUGGGUACAGAGGAAUUUACAAUGUCAGCGUUCUGUAGUGUGUUGUAAAAUCUGUGCCACUACCUCAAGUCUUCUCCGUAGAUUUAUUGUAGCACAGAAAUGUUGAGAAACAAACACAGUUCAAUCAGGGGGAGUGAGAGAUAGGGCUUUUUUUAAUCAUCAAAAGACUUCCUUUGUGAGAAAGUUCAAGGAGCCAGAGCCACGUAUCACAAGAAUUGUUACCUCACAUGUGAGGUUGGGUAACUGAUUAACAGAACUGUAUUGUGCACUCACUGGAGUCCUGGCACUGGGUACACGAAAGGAACCUCCUAUGAAGUUCAUAGAGAAAUAUUCUGGCUGUCAUCUUUGUGAAGAGAACAAUCUGCUUUUAUUUCUCAAUAAUAAAGCGUUUUGAGUUUAUGCAAGUUCACCAAUGCAAGAUGGUCAUUAACUGUUUAAGUGACAGUCUGACUACUGCACGUUGUUUUUGUUUCUUUCUGUUUCAUUUGCGAUCGAUUUACCAUUAGUUUUCACUUACAACCUCUGUGCUUCUGGUGAAGAAGGAACAACCUUCCACAUGUAUGCAGGUUACAGCCUGAAUUAUGUAAAGUAUCAGUUCCCUUACAUUUCAGUGUAGCCUCUGUCUUUAUUCUGUGUUUGGACAACGCUUAGUGAAGUAGAAUAACAUCCUCUUCUCCAUUGUUUCUAUUGAUUCUGUGUCUUGGGAUUUUGACAGGAAAGGGGCUCCGGUUUAAAGCCAGUUGGAGUUAGCAGUCGAGGGUUUCAGGAAUGCCGACAUUAUCACAGAAGUGGCCAGAGCAGUGAGUCUGCAUGUGGGUCCAAGAUUUUCCCCAGCCUUCCUUUGAGCAGUGGUUCUGGUUACAGCUAACUAAAAAUUACAGUUCAUUCUGACCUUCUUCACCGAGGCUGGUUUGCAGCACCUAGACAGCUGAGAUCUGCUUUGUGCCGAGCACUUCCACGCAACGUAAUAAUAGGCAGUUCUUGUGCUAACACUGCUGUCAGUAAUAGGGAGUUUAUAACUGUUCUUUAAGAGAAUGCAAGUGGAGAAUAGAGUGAUGUGUUGUUGGAUGUUUCCUUAAAAAUGCUACAAAAAGUUAAAACGUUGUCAAGCGGGCAGCACUGCUUGUGUCUGUGCUUUUAUCAUCUGGAGAGGGUCUGGGAGCUAGACUGAGGAGGCUGUCCAGUUUGUUUUGGAGGUUAUUUGUUGACUGUAACUUCAGUAGCUGAAAGCAGGUGCUGCUUGGAAGACGCCGUAGGACUUGGAAUUGUCUAUGUCUGAGGAAGGAAGCUUUUUAGAAACCAUUGGCUCUUGCUGCCUCCUUCACAUGAAUAUAAUGAUGUUGCUCCAGUGUUCCACCAUGAAAAAUAUCAAUCAAGUCUCCUAGAUGUGCUUUGUGGGAGAAAAUAUGAGCAGUAAGGUGUGUGCCACCACUGGUAGCAUACACGAUUGUGUGCCACAAUGACAGAAUCUCUUGCUAUGGAGUAGCUGAAUGAACCAUUAAUUCAACCUUCCUUCUGAAAAGAGAAAGCUUAGUAGUCUUACUGAGUAUUGUACUGAUACUUAUCUAUGUAAAAUACUUUUUUUUCCUUAACGAAUUCCCAUUAAUUGUUUAUAGCUAACUCAAAUUUAUUCAAAAAGUUUUUGUGAUACAAUUUAUAAGAAUUCUUUGGGAUCUCUGGGUGCUUCCCAACUGUUGAAUUGUUGAUGUGUUUUGUUAAACUUCUUACUCUGAUCAUCACUUCAUGUAUUAACAUAUUCAUGAUGAGUGAAUGCAAAAGGGAACACAAAGACAAGAAACACAUUCAAAUAUUAAUUUGAGUGAAUACUUUUUGAAGAUUUGAUCUGGUGCUAUUCAAAAUGCGGUGCUUCUGAAUCAGGAGCAAUAAAGUCACAAGAGAGAGUGCUGGAAGUAAUCCAUGGACAUCCUGUUCUUAUUAGAAGUGGGCUAAAGCAUUCUGACAGAUUUCAAACCUGCUGAAAUAUUCUUCUUCUUUUUUUUUUUUUACUUCUUUUACACCAGCAUUACUGGGAGCACAUCUUACUUAUCUGUUUAAGGGUGGCUAUGAAAAAGGGAGAAGACAGAGAUAUAUUUGGUGAAAAAUAGGGUGAGAAAAGAAGCAGAGAGUUGACUGUGUGAAGAAAGAAAGAGACACCCUGGGAAAGCAGCAGAGAAAAGGGAAAGAAAAGAAAUCCUAAUUUUUUAAAAUAUGACUCCUUAGAACUGAGACUGUGCCAAACCCUGGACUUGGAGGCUAUUCUGUCCUUAAUACAUUGCACAUGAUUGUCUGUAGCUAGAAAAACAUUUUUUGUGGGUUUUGAAAAAUCAAAUUACCCUUAUAUGAAAUAAAACAAACUAUGAGUUUAUAUGGCAGAGUAAAAAGAAACCAAAUUCAUUUUGCAAGCCUUUAGAGAGUUUAAAAAUCCCUUAGGCUCACAAAAACUCAAACUCCGUAGCGUUCAAAUAUUCAAAUGUUGUAGGAGGUACAAUUGACUUAAUUCCAUUUACUUUAAUUAAGUUUUCAUCAGACUCUUUCUAUUUAGUUAACUGAUUCUCCUCUCAAGGCAUGUUUAUAUUAAGGGCAAGAUCCAAAAUACCAUAUGGAUACUUCCUGUGCAAUCUAGAUAGCCAUUAAGUAAGGAGAUUGGUUAUAAAACCUGUGUAACUUUAAAAGCUACAAGACUGUAGGCAGUUUGGUAUCCCUUAGGAAUGCCUUUCUGCUCCAUAUCUGAAGCAUGGGCCUCAAGCUUAGCAUCUUGGCAGACCAGCAGGGUCUGUUCUCAGAUGCCAUGCUGCCUACCUAAGCUUAUGACACUCAAACCUGCAAUGCCAGCUUGUCUUCUACAAAAGUGAUACCUAUUGAGUGGGUGACAAAACUGGGAUGUACAUGGAGUUAGAUGCUGAAACAAGGUGUGUAAAGCCUCUGAUAGGCAAUAGAGACACCAUGCAAUUGAGUGGAGGUAAGAACGGCUGUCCAGGGUCACGACAAGAAUUCACCCAGCCCUGCUACUUGACUGGCAGGGAGGCAUGAUGGUCAUGAAGGUGAUUUCCUAGGUAGGGCCUCAUUCCUUGUACUUCUGGUGACCUGACCACUGAAAAUUCUGUGAUUUAGGGAACUACACUGUAAAAUUUGUAAUGUGAGAUACUGUAUAUGUAUGUUUUCUUAAAUUAAAACACAAUCCCACCUCCAAACUCCCAUUAAUGUUAAGUGGAUGCCUAGAGUAGAACACAGUAAACAGUGAUCUGAUUGCAGCUUAAAUCUAUACCAACUUGGAACAUCUUUGAUGUUCCUUGUAAGGAAUUGCACCCAUUUCAUGAAAACUGUAUUUUUCAGUUCUGUUUGAAUUCUCAUUUGGGGCUUCAUUUGAUAUCCCCCACUCUUGAACUGGAAGAUUCAGCAAAACGUUGGUGCCAGACUACCUUCACCAUGACACGACUUCACACACUUCCGCCACAUCCCUCCUCAGUCAUCUGUUUCCCAGACUGCAGAGUCCCGAAUUGUUUGAUAGUUUCCUUGUAUGGAAGUUGUUGCAGACCUCUGACCAUAUGUCCUUGCUCUUUCCCAGUUUUUCUGUGUUACGUGCCUUCACUAUUGCUCUAUAGAAUAAUGUGUAGUUCAUUUUUCUUAGGAUACAUUUAUAUAUACAUUUGUAUAUAUGUGAGGCUAUGCAAGUACUUGCGAUGUUUUUCACCUGCUCUUCUACCAUGGAUAUCUUCUUCCACAGAUCUGUUUAUUUAUGAUUGUACCUGGACCAGGUUUGGGAAUUUGGGUGUCACAGAGUCACAGAAUUGUAGGGUUUGGGAGGAACCUCUGGAGAUCAUGUCCUACCUUCCAGGCCAGUAUGUGACCUCUUGACCAGAGCUGCACAGUCUCUUUCUCAGACUCAUUAAAGAAUGAGAUCAGCAGUUAUGCCGUGUACAAUGCAGCUGCUCCAAGGCACCCUUACUGCAGCCUGGCUCCAGCCCUACUGCUUUAGGUCAUCUCUGAGAUGACAGAGCUUGUGGUCUGUUUGGAACUGGGUGCUGGUUGUCCUUAUCUUCUAUAAUUGCUUAGCUGUUGUAACACUUUUUCUCUUCCUCCUCUAAGUGAAAUAGCAUCUACUGUGAUACUUCCUCAUGUGCUUGCUCCUAUGGAUGUACUGUGUGUGUCCAUGUGCCAGGCAGUGUUAGUAAGCAUGCAGAGUGAGACCUUGAGCCCCCUACAGACAGGUACCAAAUUGCGUUCCAAAAACACUGCUGACAAAAAUGGAGAUGAGAGGAUAUUUCAAGAUUUGCAGUUUGUGUUUAAGUGUUUUAUGUCUGCUUACAUCCAACUUAGGUGCCCAUGAUCUCAUGAGAAGCUAUUUCUUGGCCUCCUUACACAUAAGUAUUUCUAUCUUACAGAAGUAGUUCCCCAUCUGAGGUGGGUGCAUGGACACAGGUGGACUAAAUAUGCACUGAUACUAUCUUAUUUAGGACUGAGCAAGUCCGCAGUUUAACUGAAUCUGUAGUAGAUGUCACUGAAUUGCACAGAAGGCUGCUGAUAAGCUAUUGCAUCAUCAUAGGUGCCUACCACAUACAGCAGUUUCGACUUGGAUAUGAGGUCAAUAAUGUCCUCAGUGGCUGACAUAGGAGGCAGAGGUUACAGUAAGGAUCUGUCUCUACAGUUUCACAAAGAUAGUGUUACUGUUAUCCUUGCUUAACACAUCAGCUUGGGAUACAGAGUGAUUUUGAUGUAUGUAAGCCAUGAUCGCUCAAAGUCUUUGAAAGAGCCAAGAGGUGACAUCUGUUCUCCUGCAUCCUAGUAUGGUAAUUGGCCACUGAAGCCUUUUUUGUUCAUUAUUCAGAUAUUUUGGAAAAAUUAUUAUCACUGUUCUUAUGCUUUCUACUCUUCUCCUGAGAACAAAACAAAUCCUUCCGAGGGAAAAAAAGAGUUAGGUAAUGAUGGUCUGUGGAGUUGGUGAGGAUAAUCUUUCUUUCAGUGACUUGUCUUUUCCUGUAAGCACCUCCAAAUGUUAUUGCUCUCCAUGGAGCAGGUUUAUAAAAUAAUGGGUAAGUCAUACUAAUUAUCCUGUGAGCUGUAAGGGCUGCCUGCUUUUCCUUUAGAGAAAGUAAGUCAGCUUUCACAUCUUUGCUAAAAUUCAUAGCAAGAUAGUGAAGGAGCUCAUUUCUCACUGCAGUAAAGGAAGAAGGAAAUGGCAUAGAAGUUUGUCUCUGAAUUUGCCUAUUUCAGUCUGCAAAUAAUGAUUUGUAAAUAGAAUUUUUGGGUGAUAUUUUCUCUACCAUGUGCUAACAACACGCUGCUCUGUUCAGCUGCUUGAAACAAAUAGAACUGAUGCUGAAAAGUGAAAUAAAAGCAUCACUAAAUUAGCUGCAUAACAUCCAGAUCAAUGUACCUUUCUAAGAGCAAAAUAGCGGGUACUACUCUUCUUUGGGUCAUAGCAACUGGUUGAUCAGUGUCAACAGAUAUGUUAUAGCUCCAGAAUGAGCUAUGAAAAUGCCAAGGUUAGAUUUUCUUAUUUGAUACUUCAUCACAAAAUUUCAACCGGACUGGAUUCCCCACAGGGGAUCUUAAACUAGAAAUCCAGAUAUAUCUGGGAAUAACUUUAGUGAGCAAAAAGUGAUAAUAAUAAAAAUAAUGUGUACUUCGUAUAGAGGAGUAUAAGUGUUUUUCUAAAUACCAAUCAUUUCCAGUAAUAUCCAUUUCAUCCACUUCAUUUAUUAUGGUCUGUAUGAACCUCUUUGUAUCUGUGAAUACAGAAUAAAGAAUUCUGCUCUCAAAGCCUUGAAAGCUCUAUUACUAGUGAAUUCAUGAGGAAAAUGCUGCUGACAAAAUAUAUACAUAUAUAUUUUGACCCAUUGCCUCUUUAUCCCCAUUUAAGUGACUAGUGUUAACAUCACUGUCCAAGUAUAUUCACGCACAGGAGCUUUUACUUUGCUUUCCAUCACUGAGUAGCUGUGCCUACUGAACGUAGUUGCUAUCAUGUUAAAAGCAUGUGAGAUGACCUGCCCAAGUAUUCUCUUGCUGAUUCCUCUUUUCUGGAAUGUAUUCACAUAAAUGUUCCUUCUAACUUCCUUUGUUUAGUAAUGCGUGAGUGCUUACAUCCUGGUAUUGAAAUUAUUUUUUGCUUAUAGUUGAACUGAUGUCAUGCAUCAUACACACUAAUAUAAUGUAUAUUAUAUAUAGGUACUCAUGCUUUUUUUUUAGCCACUCUUUUAUGAAUAGUGAAGAAUGAAUGAGGACAUAUCAAGUUAUGUAAUUAUUGAUGUCUGCCUUGAGCACUGUAACCUGUUAAUGUCAAAAUAGAAACCUGCAUGGUUAUUACUGCAAAAUAAGGUCACAAAUAAGGAGUAGAAAUACUCAAAAUGCAUUGGAAUAUGAGGACAAGUAUAUAAUCAAAAGUUGUUGUCAGCUAUAUUAAAGAAAAUUAUAGUUGAUUUAACUUAAUGGUAUGUUCAUAUCUGAAGUAAGAAAUGCAUUAGUUUUGAAGAAGUUUAACCAAAGCUAUUUUACAGUACAGAAAAAUUUUAAAACAUACAUUGUACAGUUCAUGGAUCAGAUUUUUGUUUGUAUUCUGUUUAGAGCUACCAUUCGAAUGAUUUGUGAAUAACAUUCUGCAGGGUAUAUUUUUUAUUCUUCUGCCUCCAAAACAAGAAUUGUUUUUAUUUAUACAAAAGAAAAGCUUAAUCAAAAUAGAAUAUAAUGUAGUUCUGAACCAGGUAAUAUUUUUUUGGAAACAAUUAUCUGUUUAUUAAACAAUAAUGAUUUUCCUGUAGUUUUGUGUCUAAGUAUUAUUUUCUCAUUUUCCAGAGAUGGUUUUUUACAGUGCUGUUGAUUCUGUUGCUACUGGAGUAUCAAAAAAAUCUGCUGCUCAUAAAUAGAAACUUAUUAAGAGUUAUAGUUCCUACCAAUGUUGAAAAUAAACUCUCAUUAG
Long non-coding RNA from Gallus gallus (chicken), 15879 nucleotides. RefSeq lists it as uncharacterized. Lineage: Eukaryota; Metazoa; Chordata; Aves; Galliformes; Phasianidae. The record is from RefSeq and is a predicted model, not a curated record. The transcript has 3 exons.